Molecule: ribosomal RNA, 149 nt
Filed under: uncultured bacterium
Lineage: Bacteria
Description: partial 16S ribosomal RNA
Rfam family: Bacterial small subunit ribosomal RNA
Source: RNAcentral
CCUGAUGCAGCCNUGCCGCGUGUGUGAAGAAGGCCUUCGGGUUGUAAAGCACUUUCAGUUGUGAGGAAAGGAUUGUAGUUAAUAACUGCAUUCUGUGACGUUAACAACAGAAGAAGCACCGGCUAACUUCGUGCCAGCAGCCGCGGUAA